Long non-coding RNA from Cuculus canorus (common cuckoo), 679 nucleotides. RefSeq lists it as uncharacterized. The transcript has 3 exons. The record is from RefSeq and is a predicted model, not a curated record. Lineage: Eukaryota; Metazoa; Chordata; Aves; Cuculiformes; Cuculidae.
UUUGUCUUUGUUCAUUAGGUCUCGCUGCAUUAGGAUCACUGCUGUGCAGGACAGGGCUAUGCACAGCAUGGUCAGCCCUGAGCAAAUGACCUGAGGAAGGGCACAACUCUGUCACGUAGCAGGGAAGAGGGAAUUUCUGCUCAACAAAGAAGCUAUGAGGAAGAUUCACCAUUAGGAAAAGACACUCACUUGCUGGAAAUAUUUUCUGUCAAGAAGUCACCACCACUUCUACUUCAUAGAAGGCAAUAUUAACCACCACUCUCUAUAUUUUUCACUUUUCCAUGUAUGUUUUUUUUUCUAAUGCUUCAUGUGUUGCUUGUCAGCUGUGGGGAUCUCCUUGGAACCAGUGGUUUCCCUGGAUGCACUCUGUGAAGUCCUUGCAACUCCCUGACCAUCGAUUAUGGCAAAACUAUGCCAAUGUGUGCAUCCUGGGGCAGGGGGAAAAGAAUGGAGAAGUUUCCAGAGCAGCUGCACAGGAUGACUGUAAACAGGAUUUGUUUACUCUUGCCUGCCAAAUGCAGGUCUGGAAGAGCUGUGUUCCUUGCUGGACUGUGACCCUGCCUUGCCAUAACCGAUACUGAUUUGGCAUCACAAAACCCAGAAGAGGUUAUCCAGUCAAGGUGAUUGCGUCUGGAGAAAUCUAAACAAAUUCUGUAUUUCUGGGAAUUAUCACUCCAUU